This 1201-nucleotide long non-coding RNA is filed under the name Sus scrofa (pig). Its description in RNAcentral is "lncRNA (ENSSSCG00070014845.1)". The record is from RNAcentral. Lineage: Eukaryota; Metazoa; Chordata; Mammalia; Artiodactyla; Suidae.
GUGAUGUAUGUACAUCACACUCUGGUUGAACGUUUAUUCAAUGAUGAAAAUGUUCCCUUUCUCCUCUACUUUCGUGCACAGGUUCCGUGGGUUGGCAGACUCCUCAGCACAAGUUACUCAUUGGCAGUGAGAAGAGUUCUGACGUCUGUUUCCCAUAUUCUCUCUAUCGAGAAGAAGCUUCACGGAAACCAAAUUGUCUCUAGAAGAUCCCUUGGUGAGUGUUCUCCAAAAUAUCACAUUACUCAAGGCCACCUAAUGUCUGAACGUGGAACAGUGGACACCCGCUGCCUCAGACUCUGUGAGCCAAAGGGGACCUCAGAGCACAUCCUGGUUGACCAGCUUCUCCCAUCCCCCACACCUGUUUGGAAGUUGGAGAAAUAAGAUAGAGAGGGUUUGGGACUGAAUUGUGUGUCCCCUGCUCCCUUCCCUUCCCCCCAAAAAACAUUUAUGGAAGCCCACGCUGAAGCCCCGCACUUGUGAAUGCAAACUUACUUGGAAAGAGGGUCUUUGCAGAUGUAAGCAAGCUUCAGAUGAGGUCAUUACGGUGGCCCUAAGCCAACACAACUGCUGUCCUUGCUGGAGGAAGAGAGAUUCUGGGAUGGACACACGAGAGGGGAACACUCUGUGACGGCUGGAGGGAGAGAUUGAAAUGCUGCAGCUGCAGGCUGAGGAGCGCCAAGGGCUGCUGGCAACAACGCAGAACCAAGCAGGAGGUGAGGAAGAAUGCUCCCCUACAGGGACAGAGGGGGCCUGACCCUGCCCGAGACCUUGAUGUUGGAUUUCAGCCUCCAGAACUGUGAGACAAUAUGUUUCCGUUGUUUUAAACCACGUGAUUUGCUACGGCCAUCCUAGGAAGUAGAUACAGAGACAGAGGCAAACUGGUUACGGCCAUCCUAGGAAGUGGAUACAGAGACAGAGGCAAACUGCCUAUGAUCACAGGGUGGGUGAGGGAUGAGGACACCUCUGAACACAGCCCCUGUGAUGCCCCCUCCAGAGUCGGGCCCGUUGUCCUGGGCUUCAGUCCUCCAAGGCAUCACACCGAGGUUGUGGGCAUGUGUGUUUUCUUCCAUCUUGUUUUUGUUCCAAAUUUCUAUAAUAAUUUCCCUCAAGUAGACUUUCCCUGUCUCCCCCUUUUUGGUCUCAAUAACUUUGAAACAGGUAAGUUAAAAGAAUAAAACAACACAUACUCAUAUUCUCUUCA